CCUACGGGCGGCAGCAGUAGGGAAUUUUCGGCAAUGGGGGGAACCCUGACCGAGCAACGCCGCGUGAACGAAGAAGUUCUUCGUAAUGUAAAGUUCUUUUAACAGGGAAGAAAGAUAAAUUUGACGGUACCUGAUGAAUAAGCUCCGGCAAACUACGUGCCACCAGCCGCGGAAAUACGUAGGGAGCGAGCGUUAUCGGGAAUUAUUGGGCGAAAGGGGUGCGUAGAUGGCAUAGUAAGGCUGUGGGAAAAAUGCUGGCCUAAACCCAGUAGGGCAAAAGAUACUGCAAAGCUAGAGUAUGACAGAGGCAAGUGGAACUACAGGUGUAGCGGUGAAAUGCGUAGAUAU
RNAcentral lists this ribosomal RNA (348 nucleotides) under uncultured bacterium. RNAcentral describes it as "partial 16S ribosomal RNA". It matches the Rfam family "Bacterial small subunit ribosomal RNA", at positions 338 to 697 of the family's 1533-position model. The record is from RNAcentral.